GAUGAAGAACGCAGCGAAAUGCGAUAAGUAAUGUGAAUUGCAGAAUUCAGUGAAUCAUCGAAUCUUUGAACGCACAUUGCGCUCGCCAGUAUUCUGGCGAGCAUGCCUGUUCGAGCGUCAUUUCAACCAUCAAGCUCUGCUUGCGUUGGGGAUCCGCGGCUGCCCGCGGUCCCUCAAAAACAGUGGCGGGCUCGCUAGUCACACCGAGCGUAGUAACUCUACAUCGUUCUGGUCGUGCGGCGGGUUCUUGCCGUAAAACCCCCCAAUUUCUAAGGUUGACCUCGGAUCAGGUAGGAAUACCCGCUGAACUUAAGCAUAUCAAUAAGCGGAGGA
This 333-nucleotide unclassified non-coding RNA is filed under the name soil metagenome. Its description in RNAcentral is "partial contains 5.8S ribosomal RNA, internal transcribed spacer 2, and large subunit ribosomal RNA". The stretch from base 1 to 120 matches the Rfam family "5.8S ribosomal RNA", at positions 35 to 154 of the family's 154-position model. The record is from RNAcentral.